AACAAACCGGAUGGCGCCGCGCCGGUAGUCCAGAAAAGCGUGCGCAGAAGCGCGGAUUUUGUGCGGCUGAUGUUAGCGGACGACGCGAGCAGACGACCAGAGCAGACGACGCUAGCAGACGACGCCGGAGCAGGAGCAGCAGCAGCAGCAGGCUACCGGCGUCGCCGGUGCAGACGAUCGCUCGGACAACGCGAGCAGACGACGCUAGCAGACGACGCCGCAGCAGGAUCAGCAGCAGCAGCAGCACACUACCGGCGACGCCGGUGCAGACGAUCGCUCGAGCGCGCGCGCGCCGGAACGGCACGCCGCCGUUUGCAGACGACAGCAAAGCGGCGGCAGACGAUAGAGACGCGUCCGGCGUGCGCUGCCGGCGCCGCGCGAGGGCGCUGGCGUUUGAGUUGUCGGAAUUUUUUUUUUUUUUUUACUCGCUGCCACCGAAUCCAAUGCAUGCGCUGCUGUGCUUAGAGCCAGCGCGGACGGGCGCGCCGGCGGUGUGUGCAGCGUUGAUCCGGGAACGGAACUACGACGCAAGUGACGUCUCCGCCUGUUGCUACUUGUUCGCUUUCGGAGCAGCCAACCGGGGACUGCGAACAGACGGCACUCUACCCAAACCAAGUUCACUUCGGGUUGGUGCUCCCUGGCCCGUUGUUGCGUCGCACCUCCCUCGAUGGCGCACGAGGUGCGACCAAGAAGGCUUCACGCAAAAAUGCUGGAAAGGCAGCCUCAGCAGUUUCUUACCAGCAGAGGUGAAGCCAGAGCUUGGGUAUACAUCACCUUUGAAACAGGGCUGUGACAGCUGAAGUAUUAUCACAGAUCAAUUACUUUUCGUCGGUUAUUGUAAACGAUAGGUCAAUUGGAAAAUAAAAGUUCGUGUUUUUGGCUAAAAUAUUGCCUUUGGCUGCGCACUGAUGUCACGAUGUGCCAGCAAAAUUGGUCCACAUCUUCAGAGAGAGAGAGAGAAAUAACAUUUAUUAGCCCCGAAGGAACAAAAGCCCAAGUCCGGACCUUCUGGUAUGCUCAUGCCUCCUGACCCAGCAUGUUCUUGAAGUGCUGCACCAGAAGCGGCCACCAUAGUUUUUCAAACCUUCGUGGGGGAGUGGUCCACUCCUCCCAGCUGCUUUAGACAUCUUUAGACUUCGGGCUCAUACCAGUGACGGAAAGAAAGACGUCGAACAAUACCUGUGCGGGAAAUUAUGUUUGCGUGCUUACGGUAAGAUAGCGGUGCUGCAGCUUCAGUUUUCAUUUUCAGUUCAUCAGGUUCGUUUAGAUGCGAAGCACCUUAUGCGCCC
This is an RNA transcript of Dermacentor silvarum, 1289 nucleotides long. RefSeq lists it as uncharacterized. NCBI's taxonomy places the organism in Eukaryota, Metazoa, Arthropoda, Arachnida, Ixodida, Ixodidae. The record is from RefSeq and is a predicted model, not a curated record. The transcript has 3 exons.